AUUGAACGCUGGCGGCAGGCCUAACACAUGCAAGUCGAACGAGUGGCGGACGGGUGAGUAAUGUCUGGGAAACUGCCUGAUGGAGGGGGAUAACUACUGGAAACGGUAGCUAAUACCGCAUACCAUCGGAUGUGCCCAGAUGUGAUUAGCUAGUAGGUGGGGUAAAGGCUCACCUAGGCGACGAUCCCUAGCUGGUCUGAGAGGAGGACCAGGCACACGGGAACGGGGACACGGGCCAGACUCCUACGGAGGGCAGCAGUGGGGAAAAUUGCACAAUGGGCGCAAGCCGGAUGCAGCCAUGCCGGGUGGAGGAAGAGGGCCUUGGGGUUGUAAAGUACUUUCAGCGGGGAGGCGUUACCCGCAGAAGAAGCACCGGCUAACUCCGUGCCAGCAGCCGCGGUAAUAC
Molecule: ribosomal RNA, 406 nt
Filed under: uncultured bacterium
Lineage: Bacteria
Description: partial 16S ribosomal RNA
Rfam family: Bacterial small subunit ribosomal RNA
Source: RNAcentral